This 2017-nucleotide small RNA is filed under the name Vigna angularis var. angularis. Its description in RNAcentral is "Non-protein coding transcript". The record is from RNAcentral. Lineage: Eukaryota; Viridiplantae; Streptophyta; Magnoliopsida; Fabales; Fabaceae.
UGAUCAUACACUACAAGAAAAAUGAGAAUUAUCUACUGAUAUUUAUAUACGGAUUUUGAUCCGUAUGUAAUAUAAAUAUUACAUACAGAUUUUAUAUACGGAUCACACAAAAAGAGUUAAAUACCGAUUUUAUAUACGGAUUUUUUUAUGUAUAUAAAAUAUGUAAUGUUGACGCAUGACGGAAAGAUUACCUGAAGAUAUAAUCCAUGUGUGACCAUUUAAAAUUGGCAUGUAAUCUGAUAUACAUUACCUUCUAAUAUUACAUAUGGAAUUUUAAAAUGAAUUAUUACAAAUUAAUAAAAAGUAAAACUAAAAGGAUAGGUUUUCGUUUUUCUGUUUUGCCUCCAUGCUUCUUUCAUUUGUCUCCAAGCUUCUUUCAUUUGUCUCAGUGUUAAAAAACCUAGGGUUUUAGGAAGAAGAGCGAGGAGUGUGACGACGACACCAUCCAUCUCUACGACCUCUCCACCGCCUCCUCCCUCAGUUCCCUUCACCAACACUCUGCCUUUGUCACCGCCUUCUCCUUCUACGCCCCUACCAAUCUUUCGUUCCCCCGCAACCUCAUCUCCGCCAACGUCGCUGGCUCUCUCACCAUUUUUUACGCGGACGGCUUCGUCCAUCUUACUACGCUUUUCUUCCACUACCACGGCGCUAUCAACGACCUUGCCCUGAACCGUUCGGUGAGUGCGCCCUCACCGUUGCUUGUGACAACUGCCUCGCCAUCAUCAACCUCGUCCGCGGUCGCCGCAACUGCUUCUUGCGCCUCGACAAGGAAGCUACUCUGGUCAAGUUUAAUGUGUCCGGCGACCACUUUUUUAUGCAAAGAAGAAGGUUUCUGUCCACCACUUUUUGUUAAGCUUUAUGGGAUUCUUGUGAUGCAUCUUUAGGAGAUCUUCAUUGUGCUACCGGUGUUGCGUUUAGGGGGUGUUGCAUUUAGGGAAGAUUCAGAGGGCUUUUAAGGUAUGUUUUGUUUUAUGUGUUUGGUGAUUGAGAAUAUUAUUGAAUGAGUCGCAAAUGCAAGAUCACAGGUACAAAAUGGUAGAGCAAAAUCUUAUCAGUGAGAAGGUGUUUUCCUUUUUGUUGAAUGGGUAUCCAAAUGCGAAAAAAGGUGGUGAAAUGGUUUUCGGUGGUGUUAACCUAAAGCACUUUAAAGGAGACCACACUUAUAUUCCAGUUACUAAAAAAGGUUACUGAUUGAAAUUGGAGAGUUUUUCAUUGGAGGUGCUUCUACAGGUGUUUGUGAGGGUGGUUGUGCUGCUAUUGUGGAUUCAGGAACAUCUUUGCUUGCUGGUCCAACCUUAUGUGCUUCGAUACUGGAAAAUUAUUCAAAAAUUGAAGAGGCUAAAAUAGAGGAGCUCAUGAAGGCAGUAGCAGAUUCUAGUGCCAAAGUGAUUGUUAAUGGAGGAGUAGUUGGAGAGAUGGCUUUGCAUUUCUGUGACCGUUAAGAGUGUGUGAAGUCUUUUUUCCCUUAUGGAUGGUUUUAGUUGUUUCUCGCUAUUGAAUUAAUAUGAACAUUAUAAGUAUUCAAGUCUAGAUUGUUUUCUAACUUAAAUAUUAUUGCAUAUAGGCUUAUGGUUCUGAAAAUCAGCUCAAAGUUUGAACUAUGACGAUUUUGCAGAACAACUGAUUCUGUUGCUAUGGUUUGUGUUUUUGCUUAUUUGGUUAUGAAAAUGUUUUAUGCUUUCCGUCUAAUCAAUUUUAUUUUCCUGCUAUAGUUGAAACUCAGCCAACCGAAUGCAAAUGAUCUUGGAUAUGUGGAUUCUGUUUCAGUUCAGGAAAUUGGUGGUGUCAGGGUAUGUUCAAACCGGAAUGAGCUCUGUUGUCUUCUUUGUUCCACGUUUCUUGUUUAUACUAGUAAAAGAAAAUAUGUUAUGCACGAGAAAAUACACUGGUUUAUUCCAACUAUGGUGUGCACUUAAUUGAUUGGAGGCAUUUCUUUUAAAAGCAAUUUAAUGCUUAAGCUAAUUGAAAUAUGGAUUAAUUGUUUGGAGGCACAAGCAGAAGCCAUUAACCCUUGAUU